This 448-nucleotide ribosomal RNA is filed under the name uncultured bacterium. RNAcentral's name for it is "bacterial SSU rRNA". It matches the Rfam family "Bacterial small subunit ribosomal RNA", at positions 29 to 524 of the family's 1533-position model. The record is from RNAcentral.
AACGAACGCUGGCGGCAGGCUUAACACAUGCAAGUCGAGCGCCCCGCAAGGGGAGCGGCAGACGGGUGAGUAACGCGUGGGAAUCUACCUAUCACUACGGAACAACUCCGGGAAACUGGAGCUAAUACCGUAUACGUCCGAGAGGAGAAAGAUUUAUCGGUGAUAGAUGAGCCCGCGUUGGAUUAGCUAGUUGGUGGGGUAAUGGCCUACCAAGGCGACGAUCCAUAGCUGGUCUGAGAGGAUGAUCAGCCACACUGGGACUGAGACACGGCCCAGACUCCUACGGGAGGCAGCAGUGGGGAAUAUUGGACAAUGGGCGAAAGCCUGAUCCAGCCAUGCCGCGUGAGUGAUGAAGGCCUUAGGGUUGUAAAGCUCUUUCACCGGUGAAGAUAAUGACGGUAACCGGAGAAGAAGCCCCGGCUAACUUCGUGCCAGCAGCCGCGGUAAU